CCUACGGGUGGCAGCAGUGAGGAAUAUUGGUCAAUGGACGAGAGCCUGAACCAGCCAAGUAGCGUGAAGGAUGAAUGCCCUACGGGUUGUAAACUUCUUUUAUAAGGGAAUAAAGUGAGCCACGUGUGCCUUUUUGUAUGUACUUUAUGAAUAAGGAUCGGCUAACUCCGUGCCAGCAGCCGCGGUAAUACGGAGGAUCCGAGCGUUAUCCGGAUUUAUUGGGUUUAAAGGGAGCGUAGACGGGUUGUUAAGUCAGUUGUGAAAGUUUGCGGCUCAACCCUAAAAUUGCAAUUGAUACUGGCAGCCUUGAGUACAGUUGAGGUAGGCGGAAUGCGUGGUGUAGCGGUGAAAUGCUUAGAUAUCACGCAGAACUCCGAUUGCGAAGGCAGCUUACUAAACUGCCACUGACAUUGAGGCUCGAAAGUGUGGGUAUCAAACAGGAUUAGAUACCCUUGUAGUC
This 460-nucleotide ribosomal RNA is filed under the name uncultured bacterium. RNAcentral's name for it is "partial 16S ribosomal RNA". It matches the Rfam family "Bacterial small subunit ribosomal RNA", at positions 338 to 795 of the family's 1533-position model. The record is from RNAcentral.